RNAcentral lists this ribosomal RNA (253 nucleotides) under uncultured bacterium. Its description in RNAcentral is "partial 16S ribosomal RNA". It matches the Rfam family "Bacterial small subunit ribosomal RNA", at positions 524 to 776 of the family's 1533-position model. The record is from RNAcentral.
UACGGAGGGUGCAAGCGUUAUCCGGAUUCACUGGGCUUAAAGGGUGCGUAGGCGGAUACGUAAGUCCGUGGUGAAAUCUCUGGGCUUAACCCGGAAACUGCCAUGGAUACUAUGUGUCUUGAAUGUUGUUGAGGUGAGCGGAAUAUGUCAUGUAGCGGUGAAAUGCUUAGAUAUGACAUAGAACACCAAUUGCGAAGGCAGCUCACUAAGCAAAUAUUGACGCUGAGGCACGAAAGCGUGGGGAUCAAACAGG